ACGCUCGACACCUACGGGAGCAGCAGUGGGGAAUAUUGCACAAUGGGGGAAACCCUGAUGCAGCGACGCCGCGUGAGUGAAGAAGUAUUUCGGUAUGUAAAGCUCUAUCAGCAGGGAAGAAGAUGACGGUACCUGAGUAAGAAGCCCCGGCUAACUACGUGCCUGCAGCCGCGGUAAUCUGAGCGGGCUGGCAAGGC
RNAcentral lists this ribosomal RNA (197 nucleotides) under uncultured bacterium. Its description in RNAcentral is "partial 16S ribosomal RNA". It matches the Rfam family "Bacterial small subunit ribosomal RNA", at positions 328 to 539 of the family's 1533-position model. The record is from RNAcentral.